CGCUUGAAGUAAACUAUGAAAAGCUCUCUCUCUAGCUCUAGAGAAAAACCACUGACUAGUUCGUUUUGAGGUGUGGCGUGGCGAGGAUAGAAGAGGCAGUUCGUUCUCAACCUUCCGAGACGACAUUUGGCGCCCAACUAAUCGAACCCACGACCCUGAAGCUCGUCGCUCUCCGGCCGGUGUUUUUCGUUUUCCUCUUCGCGUUCUCGCCAUGGCUCCGCUUUGCUGCGUCUGUUCAACCCUUUCCUAGAUCCUCGGAGCUCCUACUCAGUUUCUGUAGCGCCAUCGGUUUUCGGACAGCCGGCCAGUGUGCGUCCUGCUGCCCCAGUCUUCUUCUCGGUCGGUGCGUGCUGUCGGUCUCGCCGCUCCUGGAAGCGUCGCUGGGUCCGUCGGCAUAACCUGUUUUCUCAUGCAUUUGUACUUUUGUUUUGUCAUGACUGGUGGAUGGGUGGCGUACUAGGUUGGUGCUGUUCUAAGAAUAAAAGAUCCAAAGGGACAAACACAGGUCGAACAGCUCGCCAGCCGGGGUCCUCUGCAAAAUCUGUUGCUUGCAGGUUCCGUUGAUUGUUGCACAGUUUUGCGGGGCUCCCGACUGGUGUUAACCCUCCUGGCC
Long non-coding RNA from Sycon ciliatum, 613 nucleotides. RefSeq lists it as uncharacterized. The transcript is spliced from 2 exons. The record is from RefSeq and is a predicted model, not a curated record. NCBI's taxonomy places the organism in Eukaryota, Metazoa, Porifera, Calcarea, Leucosolenida, Sycettidae.